This 422-nucleotide long non-coding RNA is filed under the name Monodelphis domestica (gray short-tailed opossum). Its description in RNAcentral is "lncRNA (ENSMODG00000050505.1)". Lineage: Eukaryota; Metazoa; Chordata; Mammalia; Didelphimorphia; Didelphidae. The record is from RNAcentral.
CUAAUAAUGGAGCAAAGUUGACUGCACAAUUUUUCUGUUGCUUCAGUUUUGUCUGGUAAAUAAAAUGCCUGGAAGGACAAAACAAAAAUGUCUAAUGGAAUAUAAUUCAAGAUAAGUAGGAGAAAACCUGAAAACAUCCAGCUGCCUUUGAUGAGUUUAGGUCACUAGGUCCAGAUGAACCACAUCUUCAAGUAUUAAAAGACCUUGAAAAAGUGAUUGCUGAACCACUUUCAGGGAUCUUUGAAGGGCCUCAGAGAAUAAGAGAGGCUUACGAAAUUCUUCACUCAAAGCAUCACUGUCAGAUUGGUCUUGUGGAAAAGAAGCUGCCCUUGUUAGCAAACCAAGUUCAAGAGUUUUGGAACUCAUCCUUGCUGAGAGAGAAAUCAAGUAAAGUCAAGAGGCAUUUAUUAAGCACCAGCUGA